AACCUCAUCCCACCUCACCCCAAGAAACCACUGAUCUGUGCUCGUUGCCCAGCUCCACAUAGCAGGAUACUCUUGGACACGAAGACUUCCCUCACCAGAUGUACUCUUAGCAAGUGAAAUGACAUCAGCCAUCUUCAAACAGCAAGAAUUAAUAAGAUACCAUCAUUAAGUAUCUUGAUUAGAAAACCUCCAGAAGCAGCUAUCACAUGAAAGU
Molecule: long non-coding RNA, 214 nt
Organism: Balaenoptera ricei (Rice's whale)
Lineage: Eukaryota; Metazoa; Chordata; Mammalia; Artiodactyla; Balaenopteridae
Exons: 3
Source: RefSeq, a predicted model, not a curated record